GAUGAAGAACGCAGCGAAAUGCGAUAAGUAAUGUGAAUUGCAGAAUUCAGUGAAUCAUCGAAUCUUUGAACGCAUCUUGCGCUCCUUGGUAUUCCUUGGAGCAUGCCUGUUUGAGUAUCAUGAGCAAAUCUCAAAGUCAAUUCCUUUUGUUGAUUCAAUUGGUUUUGCUUUGGACUUGGAGGCCUUGCAGAUUUCACAGUCUGCUCCUCUUAAAUGCAUUAGCUGGAUCUCAGUAAUUAUGCUUGGUUCCACUCGGCGUGAUAAGUAUCACUCGCUGAGGUCACUGUUAAAAAGGUGGCCAGGAAAAUACUGAUUGAACCGCUUCUAACGGUCUAUUAAGUUAGACAAUUACCCUUAAGUUUGAUCUCAAAUCAGGUAGGACUACCCGCUGAACUUAAGCAUAUCAAUAAGCGGAGGA
This 418-nucleotide unclassified non-coding RNA is filed under the name soil metagenome. RNAcentral's name for it is "partial contains 5.8S ribosomal RNA, internal transcribed spacer 2, and large subunit ribosomal RNA". The stretch from base 1 to 120 matches the Rfam family "5.8S ribosomal RNA", at positions 35 to 154 of the family's 154-position model. The record is from RNAcentral.